Molecule: ribosomal RNA, 133 nt
Filed under: uncultured bacterium
Lineage: Bacteria
Description: partial 16S ribosomal RNA
Source: RNAcentral
GUAGUUGGCCGGAGCUUCUUCUGCAGGUACCGUCAUUUUCGUCCCUGCUGAAAGGGGUUUACAACCCUAGAGCUGUCAUCCCCCACGCGGCGUUGCUGCGUCAGGCUUUCGCCCACUUGCGCAAGAUUCCCUA